GUACACCAACAGUGGAGACUUCCUUCAAAUGUGUAGCACAGCUUGUGAGGAGGAUGGCAGGGAACAAAGCAAGGAACUGUCAGAAGCUCUUCUGCUGAAGUACUGCUAAAGGCUGUUUAGGAAAGGGUUUGUUACAAGGACUCCAAACCCACAGCAAGAAGUCCAACAUGCAGGCACAGAGGGAGAAGCUUCCACUGAGGCCAUGACAGCAGUGGUCUCAGAUGUAUAUUGGAUUGGGGAGUUCUUUUAUUACACGCACAAGCAGUUCUAUAGCAUACAAUCUGGUGCACCAUACAUGUAGGUGUUCAAAUAACAUUGACUAUUAUAAUUCCACCAGGUGCCAUCAUACCGCCACCUCAAAAAAACGUUAGUAUACAGGUCUUCCCAAAAUUGUCUUGAACACCGAAUGUUAAAUAUCUGAAAUGUAAUACAAUUCAGAUAUUUAGGUGUUGAAGACAAUCUUCAGAAGGCCUCUAUGACAACGUUUUUUGAGGAAGCGGUAUAAUGGCACCUGGUGGAAUUAAGCGAAUGUAUGUUACUAGUAAGUUUAUGCAGCUACAAGUUGAUUUUUGCAUUUGACAUAUAUGUUUAGAAUGUAUAGAUUGACAUUACUGUACAUGUAACAUACAGAUAUCAUCUGUUUUUAAA
This is a long non-coding RNA of Branchiostoma floridae (Florida lancelet), 648 nucleotides long. RefSeq lists it as uncharacterized. The transcript has 2 exons. Lineage: Eukaryota; Metazoa; Chordata; Leptocardii; Amphioxiformes; Branchiostomatidae. The record is from RefSeq and is a predicted model, not a curated record.